CAUGCCACAAGACGCCGGCCCGAGGGUGUGCACAGAGUGCUGUCCCACCGGCCGGGAGUUAGGAGAGGGCCGUGCAGGAGUUGGACCGGCGAGAGGAGCACGCGGCUGAGCUAAGGGUGAGGAAACCGGACCCAGCCUUGCCAAGCCCGGGCACCGCAGGGCGGCACCUGCUUUCCAUGGCCACCACCCUGCUGCCCGCUCUGCUGCUCCUGACGCUGCUGAAGAUGACCACCAUAAGUGAAUCACUUUCUGAGCAGAGUCCACGACUUACUGAUCCCGAGUCCUGCAGCCCCAAAGAGUACAAAUCUGCCGGCCAUUGCUGUGAGCUCUGUCCUGCGGGUGAGUCCUGGGACAGCCCAAUGCCAGAGUGUGGACUUAGGUGGCCUUUUAA
This 391-nucleotide long non-coding RNA is filed under the name Castor canadensis (American beaver). Its description in RNAcentral is "lncRNA (ENSCCNG00000030596.1)". Lineage: Eukaryota; Metazoa; Chordata; Mammalia; Rodentia; Castoridae. The record is from RNAcentral.